UAUGCACAGCCGUAAACUUUAAUAGCAUAUUACACCCGCUAUCCGCCCGGGUACUACGAGCAUAAGCUUAAAACCCAAAGGACUUGGCGGUGCUUUAGAUCCCCCUAGAGGAGCCUGUUCUAGAACCGAUAACCCCCGUUAAACCUCACCUUCCCUUGCCCUUCCCGCCUAUAUACCGCCGUCGUCAGCAUACCCUGUGAAGGAACAACAGUAAGCAAAAUUGGCACAGCCUAAAACGCCAGGUCGAGGUGUAGCAUAUGAGAAGGAAAGAAAUGGGCUACAUUUCCUUUUUAAGGAGAUACGAAUUAUGUUAUGAAACUAACACAUGAAGGAGGAUUUAGCAGUAAGUAAGAAAAAGAGAGUCUUACUGAACCCGGCCCUGAAGCGCGCACACACCGCCCGUCACUCUCCCCCAGCCACUUGACACCCAUUUUUAAUAAACAAAAUAGGCAAAGGGGAGGCAAGUCGUAACAUGGUAAGUGUACCGGAAGGUGUACUUGGAAAAAU
Molecule: ribosomal RNA, 507 nt
Filed under: Aphaniops furcatus
Lineage: Eukaryota; Metazoa; Chordata; Actinopteri; Cyprinodontiformes; Aphaniidae
Description: partial 12S ribosomal RNA
Rfam family: Bacterial small subunit ribosomal RNA
Source: RNAcentral